AACUAUAUUAUUAUAUUUGGUCUAUGCUAAAUUUUAGCUUAAUCUUUAUACUGGAUCAACUAAAACGACUUGUUAGCUUAUUAUAGAGAGUAGUGUUAACGUGGUGUAUUCAUGUGGACAUGGAUAGAGAGUAGAGUGUUAACCUUGAUCAAAUAUAUACCGUGAUCUAUAAUCAACUAAAGCUCCAGCAAGACUACGAUAGAGUAGGAUCCUUCAUUGGAGGACUCGCAUCAGCCGCAAGCUUGGGCUUCGUGUCAACAGGAGUCAAGCAGGGGUUGCAUGCGGUCAUAUUGGCACGAUGAAGGAGAUUAUAAGAGUCCAGUAGAUAUCCUUCUGUUCAUUGGUUAUUGUUGAAAACAACUUGACAUGAUCGUUUGCAAGUUUUGCACGAUCGUAUGAUUUCUCAUCCCGGAUUAGAUGAUUUGAUUUCUUAUACUUUCCAAUAUCAUCAGGGACUGGCAUCUCUCCUUUAUAGUCGGAUAAUGAAUGACCGUUUCUGCUUUUGA
This 506-nucleotide long non-coding RNA is filed under the name Eutrema salsugineum. Its description in RNAcentral is "long non-coding RNA (ESAL_LNC001604)". Lineage: Eukaryota; Viridiplantae; Streptophyta; Magnoliopsida; Brassicales; Brassicaceae. The record is from RNAcentral.